ACCACACGAGCGAAAUAGUUCGAGCGAGCGAGCCGGCCUGCAUCUCCCCCCUCCGCCCGAGCCAUCGUCUCCCCCGCCACACGCACACCCAAUCCCCUCCCCUCCAACCCUAGCCGCCCCGCUCCCCUCCCUCUCCACGGCGCCGCCGCCUCCUCCCCUUCUGCCAUGCUCUCCACCGUGCCGCCUCUUCCUCCUCUUCACUGCCCUCUCUAGCGGCGGCAAAGAUCUGCCGACAAAAGGGAGACGACGGCGACGCUCGAUCCGAUCUGCUGAAGAGAAAAGAUGAGAGGGAGAGAGACAAGGAAGGAGAGGAGGGAGAAAGAUAGAGGAAAGAGGAGAGCGAGGUGUGACGGCAGAUGAGAGAGGGUCACCGGAAGGAGCGUGACGACCUGCAGACAAAGGGCGGCGGCGGCGCCGCUCGAUUUGAUCUGCGGGAGAGAGAAUAUGAGAGGGAGAGAGAGAAGGAAGAACAUGAGAGGAGGGAGAAAGAGAGAGGAAAGAGGAGAGGGGGUUGACGGCCGACAGGAGAGGAUCACCGGAAGGAGUGCCGCCGGCUCGUCGUCUUUCACACCGCACUAUAGUAGAGCUAUCUCUGUACAACCCACACGCACGCAGGGGUGUUGCAAGGAGUUAGAGGUCGUGCGCCGGCCGAAGCAGCAAGAGCAAUGAUCUGGCGGCCUCUCUUCUCUGCCACAGUUCCCUUCUCUUCAUUCAGCUCUCGAGACGUCGACCUGCAGGUGUAGGUGCUUGUGUCUCAACCAUCUUUCUCCUGUAUCCUCAGUUCCUCACAUUUUUUAUUUCUGAUUCGUGUGUUACCAUAUUAUUGCUAGGCUAGAGUUUGUCCGUGUGUUGUUUAUGCUCAGGUUUAAUCUCCACAAAAGAUGGCCCACACUACUUUACAAGGAACUGCUGUUGUCCAGUUUAGAGGUAUGUUUUCUAGCUGAAGCAUUGUUUGAAUAUCUAUGGCCCAGGCUCCAAGUGAGAUUAAUUCUUUCAUUUUGUUUGUGCUAAUGUGAGUGAUUUAGUUGUCAUAGAAACAAAAUUCCAAUUGAUGUACUGACAAAUGUGUAUAGCAUACUAUUUUUAGGCAAACCAUUGUUUAACAACGGAUAUGCGGAGGCGUUUUUAUGGAUGUGCAUUUCCCCUGAAUCUAGACAGCUAUUCAACCUGUUGCGGACAUUUUUGGUGGAAUUCAAUGCUUCAGCAGAUGUGCCGGCGCCGCUGCCUGCGCCUUCUCCAGCGCCGCCUCGGUCACCAGCGCCAACUCCGGUCAGUGGUCUCCGGCACGCCCUCGCGGCUGGACGAGGCAGAGAUGUGCCGAGGAUCCCCACGCCCUUGGUUCUCAUGUUCUCUGCUCCCAGCCGCAGCAGAUCGUGCCAAAGGCAUUAUCGUGAGGAGGGAAGCGGCCGCAGAUUAAGGACAACGCGGGUUAAGAGCAUGGUCAUAGUCUAGGAGCACGCCCGGUGGUCGGUACGUAUGUUGUCUCCAUGCCAAAAAUAGCCACUUGAUUAUUUUAACAAAUCCCUCUUCUGCCUCUUAGUCAUGCUCAAAUCUGAGCUACCAUGUAUCUACUGAGCUUAAAAUUACCCACAACCCACAAUAGAAGGCAAGUAUGAUAUGACAGUGUAUGUCAUGGUAAUCUAGCUUUAUAAAAUCCAAAUUGAUCACAAUAUGCACAUAGAUGUUUACAUAUUUGCAUCCAUAGCGUCACUUAUAGGAUUGUAAUUAAUAGCAACCAUGGAGAGAGUUGGUUCGUUUUAUUAUCAGCACGUCUCUUCUUCUGCAUCCUGAAGAUCUGCUAAAAUAUGAAGUGAAUUUCCUGUUUUAUCUCACAUUUACCAAUUACACAUUGAAAUAUUGUGUUUGUCAAGAGAGUUUGAUUUGUACUUUGGAAGUUUUGGGAUUGGAGACAUCACCCUUCUUGUCCGCUGCCCAACUCCGUCGCAGCCCAGGCCUAGCAGGCGAUAGAGGCACGGCGAGGACUCACUGCAAAGAAGCCAUGGGAGGAGGACCCCGACUCGGAUGACGGCUGCUGGAAGAUCACGCACUUAUUCGGCCCACAGACCGGCUCCGCUUAUGGCUUAUCCAAGGUUGGAGCUUCACCGGCGCCAUGGUUGUGCUCAGAGGAGGACCGCCGAUGCCCGCCGCCGCUGUCGUCCACAUGCUCCUCCUCACGACCACGGGUGGACGUUGGCUGAGGUCUAGCCUCCCAUCCAUGCGCAGAUUAUGCAAGAAUCUGCUUGGUCUGCAUAUUAGUACCGACUAGCGAGCACAGGAACGACGACUUGGACCUGACGACUUGGACGUUGGCUGAGGUCUAGCCUCCCAUAUGCAUAUUUGACCAGUACUACAUGCGGCCCGCGAGCAAAGGUCGUCCGGCCAAUUCUAACCCCACCAGUCAUGGAUUCUUAUACCAGCCCAGUAGGGUUGUUCUCCAUCAUCCUCGUGCCCUACUGUCGAUGGGGAGGAGAGGAGCAGCGAGGCUGGAGCUCCAGACAACGCACACGUCGCUGGGUGGAGGAGAGGCCAGCUACGGGGCGCUCCUGUCACGAUGUGGUGAGAUGCAAGGGAGGGGUAGGAUGCCGGUGACAGUAGAAGGAGCAGGCCGGUGUAGAGGGCAAGCAGCACAGGAAGAUUAAGAAGGAUAUGAAGCUUUGUAUAGUUUCAUGGAUGGGGUUUGGGUGUCCUCAUGAGAGCAGUUCAGUGCUUGCACCUCUGCAACCUCGCCAACGUGGACAAUCACUGGUCAUGAGUACAGGAUCAAGCCACGGAUAUUUACGGCACGACAUGGAGUAUUUGGUGGAACUAGCUAUGGAAGUGUGUCCCUCCAUGUUGUAGGCAGACCGUGAUAUGGUGAAUUAUUUCUUAUGAGCUCCUCUUUUGCAGGACAUGGAUACUUUUCGGCAUAAAUGUCAUGGGUCCAUGAUGCCUUACGUACCUCUGAACCUAUGACUCUAGAGAUAAUUUAAUAUAUUUCUGGAUUGUUUCGCUCUGGUUACAAAUAUUGUAAGAUCCUCUUUCACUAACACUUUCAAGUUUCAAAUAUUGUCAAAUGGGGUUCACAAUA
RNA transcript from Triticum dicoccoides, 3067 nucleotides. RefSeq lists it as uncharacterized. Lineage: Eukaryota; Viridiplantae; Streptophyta; Magnoliopsida; Poales; Poaceae. The record is from RefSeq and is a predicted model, not a curated record. The transcript has 9 exons.